RNAcentral lists this long non-coding RNA (1284 nucleotides) under Fukomys damarensis (Damara mole-rat). RNAcentral describes it as "lncRNA (ENSFDAG00000022257.1)". Lineage: Eukaryota; Metazoa; Chordata; Mammalia; Rodentia; Bathyergidae. The record is from RNAcentral.
CGUGACGUCACCACGCUGGGCCGGGCCGCAGGAGCCGCCCCUCCUCUUUUGACCCUGACGGAUAACGAAGGGUGAGCCAUACUCUUUGCGCCACCAGAUGGCGCGCCCUCCCCUAUGAACAGCGAUGAUUUCCGCAAGGAUGCUGGGGAAUUGAAGUCCCUAGUUCCCUGUGCCUUUAGCACCCACGUGGUGAGCAUUCCUCUUCUUUUCUUCUGGACUCAGAAAACGAAGGAUUGCCCUAACGCCAGGCCCACAAAUGCUCCUGUUGCUAAGGAUGGCAAGAACAGAGCCAGAUCUAAAGGAGACAGAAUCUUACUUAGCACUGUGGGCCAAGAAGGAGACCAGCAGGUCAGACUCCAUUUACCUGAAUGCUUGGCCAGAGUGGAGAUCGAUGAACUGGCCCAGCAGAGCUGAGGAUGCUCAGACUAAAGGCAAGAAGGGAGGUACCCUCUUCCCCGGUGGAGAGGCAGGAGGCCUCUGUGAUUCACUUUAGACCAGAGACGGGCAUUCCUGGAAACCAGCCACUGUAGAAGACACGGGUGGCUGCUAGCCCCCUACCGAAUGUGAACUAGAGAUCAAAGUGUUCACUCAGCCAGGGAGUGUGACAACAUAGCAUCCUGCCCAGUUCUCAGAUGGCUUCAUACGGCCCAGCUAAGGGAACUGCUCCACAUGGAAGCAUAAAAUGACUUGUCUUUAGCCACCCAACCCCCUGACAAUGCCUUUACUAGUAAGCUCACCCCUCCUGAAGAGCACAGUGCGUGUGCAAAUGAGACACUUAUUCGGGACCCAGUGUUUGAGGAGAGUACGAACCCAAGGUCAGGAAUGUCUGCUGUGUGUGACAGUGGUAUGUCUUCAAAGUGUCUGGAGACAGGAGGGGAUCCAGCUCUUGAAAGAAGUGGCCUGUAAGUAGAGAUGAGAUAUUCUCACCAGAAAUGUUGUGGACCUGAGAUUUCACCUGUGAACUUGGUGUGGUUAAUCAAAUCCCUUCUUCAUCCUCCCAAAUUUAUUCUUAUAAAGUGUAUAGUCAUGUGCCAUAUACAAUGUUUCAACCAUUAGCAGAUUGAAUAUAUGACAGCAGUCCCAUAAGAUGAUAAUGGAGGUCUGCGAUCACCCGGCGGUGUGCGCGUGAGCUCCCGGCCUGCGCGACAACAGACCCAGGAAGGACCCAAGGACCCCAGAGGGGGUUUUUCUCAGCUGCCUGCCUACCUGCCUGUCUGCGAUCACCCGGCGGCGUGCGCGUGAGCUCCCGGCCUGCGCGACAACAGACCCAGGAAGGACCCAAGG